Molecule: ribosomal RNA, 256 nt
Filed under: uncultured bacterium
Lineage: Bacteria
Description: partial 16S ribosomal RNA
Rfam family: Bacterial small subunit ribosomal RNA
Source: RNAcentral
UAAUACGAAGGGGGCUAGCGUUGUUCGGAUUUACUGGGCGUAAAGCGCGUGUAGGCGGGUCGUUAAGUUGGGGGUGAAAUCCCGAGGCUCAACCUCGGAACUGCCUUCAAAACUGGCGACCUGGAGCAAGAUAGAGGCAAGUGGAAUUGCGAGUGUAGAGGUGAAAUUCGUAGAUAUUCGCAGGAACACCAGUGGCGAAGGCGACUUGCUGGAUCUUUGCUGACGCUGAGACGCGAAAGCGUGGGGAGCAAACAGG